This 402-nucleotide ribosomal RNA is filed under the name uncultured Methanomicrobiales archaeon. RNAcentral describes it as "bacterial SSU rRNA". It matches the Rfam family "Archaeal small subunit ribosomal RNA", at positions 936 to 1338 of the family's 1478-position model. Lineage: Archaea; Methanobacteriati; Methanobacteriota; Methanomicrobia; Methanomicrobiales. The record is from RNAcentral.
AAGACAGACUGAAUGAUAGUCGGGCUGAAGACUCUACUUGACUAGCUGAGAGGAGGUGCAUGGCCGUCGUCAGUUCGUACUGUGAAGCAUCCUGUUAAGUCAGGCAACGAGCGAGACCCACGCCAACAGUUGCCAGCUCGUCCUCCGGGAUGUGGGGACACUGUUGGGACCGCUCUGCUAAAGAGGAGGAAGGAAUGGGCAACGGUAGGUCAGCAUGCCCCGAAUUAUCUGGGCUACACGCGGGCUACAAUGGGUGGGACAAUGGGUAUCGACACCGAAAGGUGAAGGCAAUCUCCUAAACCCAUCCGUAGUUCGGAUUGUGGGCUGCAACUCGCCCACAUGAAGCUGGAAUCUGUAGUAAUCGUGUCUCAAAAUGGCACGGUGAAUAUGUCCCUGCUCCUU